This 637-nucleotide ribosomal RNA is filed under the name Psychrobacter sp. LC127. RNAcentral's name for it is "bacterial SSU rRNA". It matches the Rfam family "Bacterial small subunit ribosomal RNA", at positions 332 to 959 of the family's 1533-position model. Lineage: Bacteria; Pseudomonadati; Pseudomonadota; Gammaproteobacteria; Moraxellales; Moraxellaceae. The record is from RNAcentral.
CGGACUCCUACGGGAGGCAGCAGUGGGGAAUAUUGGACAAUGGGGGCAACCCUGAUCCAGCCAUGCCGCGUGUGUGAAGAAGGCCUUUUGGUUGUAAAGCACUUUAAGCAGUGAAGAAGACCUAACGGUUAAUACCCGUUAGCGAUGACAUUAGCUGCAGAAUAAGCACCGGCUAACUCUGUGCCAGCAGCCGCGGUAAUACAGAGGGUGCAAGCGUUAAUCGGAAUUACUGGGCGUAAAGCGAGCGUAGGUGGCUUGAUAAGUCAGAUGUGAAAUCCCCGGGCUUAACCUGGGAACUGCAUCUGAUACUGUUAAGCUAGAGUAGGUGAGAGGGAAGUAUAAUUCCAGGUGUAGCGGUGAAAUGCGUAGASAUCUGGAGGAAUACCGAUGGCGAAGGCAGCUUCCUGGCAUCAUACUGACACUGAGGCUCGAAAGCGUGGGUAGCAAACAGGAUUAGAUACCCUSCGUAGUCCACGCCSUAAACGAUGUCUACUAGUCGUUGGCGUCCCUUGAGGACUUAGUGACGCAGCUAACGCAAUAAGUAGACCGMCUGGGGAGUACGGCCGCAAGGUUAAAACUCAAAUGAWUUGACGGGGGCCCGCACMAGCGGUGGAGCAUGUGGUUUWAUUCGAUGCAA